This 497-nucleotide ribosomal RNA is filed under the name uncultured bacterium. RNAcentral describes it as "partial 16S ribosomal RNA". It matches the Rfam family "Bacterial small subunit ribosomal RNA", at positions 28 to 507 of the family's 1533-position model. The record is from RNAcentral.
GAUGAACGCUGGCGGCGUGCCUAAUACAUGCAAGUCGAGCGAACGGACGAGAAGCUUGCUUCUCUGAUGUUAGCGGCGGACGGGUGAGUAACACGUGGAUAACCUACCUAUAAGACUGGGAUAACUUCGGGAAACCGGAGCUAAUACCGGAUAAUAUUUUGAACCGCAUGGUUCAAAAGUGAAAGACGGUCUUGCUGUCACUUAUAGCUGGAUCCGCGCUGCAUUAGCUAGUUGGUAAGGUAACGGCUUACCAAGGCAACGAUGCAUAGCCGACCUGAGAGGGUGAUCGGCCACACUGGAACUGAGACACGGUCCAGACUCCGACGGGAGGCAGCAGUAGGGAAUCUUCCGCAAUGGGCGAAAGCCUGACGGAGCAACGCCGCGUGAGUGAUGAGGGUCUUCGGAUCGUAAAACUCUGUUAUUAGGGAAGAACAUAUGUGUAAGUAACUGUGCACAUCUUGACGGUACCUAAUCAGAAAGCCACGGCUAACUACGUG